ACCAUGCUAGCUUUGUCUUUAAUUAUAUGAACAUAACUAUUUUAGUGUAUGGAAUCAUUCAAAGUUGGUUUCUAUGUUGCUUGAGUUAGAUUACUCUUGAAUAUUCAGCAAUGAGAUGGAGCAUCCAAAUGAAGUGUCAACCUUUUCUUUAGAUCAGGUGAGUCGAGCCACAUGCACUGAGGCACCUUUGGUUUUCAUGGUUCGGAAAACAUGUCUUGCAAAGUCUAGACCACUGCAGAGCAUAUAUGGUUUUAAAUAUUUAAAUCCUUGUAAGAUUUUGUUUACAAUAUCCAUUAAGUUCUUGCAAAAUUAUUUUCUUCUAUUUUCUUUUGAUUGUUAAGUUUUUCUCCUGCAGGUGUUAUGACGGCUCUGGCAAUUGAGACAGAGUGUAAAUACUUCUGAACAGAUGCUGCGAGGAUCAAAGCAAGGGAGCCAUUGGAUACUCUGAAAAGAGGUCGUCUUCUAUCUUCUUCUUCCUCUGAAAACAGGCAAUUGGAGCGGUCGUCUGGAUGGUAAUCUAAUUGUGUUCUUGAAUACUUUGCAGCGCAUUUCCAAAACCUUUGAGGUUGAUAUCUGCCAGCAACAGUGAAAAGUUCUUGGUAUGUACUUUGGAGUGAAACAGAGGAAAAGGCACAUCGAUUGGAGCACUCGCAACGGGGAAGAGCUCGUCGCAAGCAGAGGUCGAAUUCUUUGCAAUGGCAAGCAGAGAUUCAUGUGGAGAAGAAUCAGACCCCUUUUCCCUUCUGCUAAUUAAUUUAUCUGACUUGUACGAACAUCGAUGGUGAUUUCCAUGAUAUGUUGUUGGAUUCUAAUAUCAUGAAACAUGAAAUGUCAAGCAAGCUAUAGGAAAGUCGAACGACUCCCUCAUAACGAUAAUAAUAAUAAU
RNAcentral lists this long non-coding RNA (886 nucleotides) under Musa acuminata (dwarf banana). RNAcentral's name for it is "long non-coding RNA (MACU_LNC001566)". Lineage: Eukaryota; Viridiplantae; Streptophyta; Magnoliopsida; Zingiberales; Musaceae. The record is from RNAcentral.